UGAUUGGCCAAACCCUUGGGAGACACUCUU
RNAcentral lists this non-coding RNA (30 nucleotides) under Rattus norvegicus (Norway rat). Lineage: Eukaryota; Metazoa; Chordata; Mammalia; Rodentia; Muridae. The record is from RNAcentral.